GGACUCAGAUGUGGGACUAACUGGUGUCACUUCGUAUUGACCUAAACAUUCCUGUGUGGUGAGGUGACAGUUCUCCUUCUCUGUAAGCUCCUCCCCGCCCCAAUGUAGAAGACAAAGCAGAGUGGACAUCUUGAAAGGUGAGGGUCACCUUUGGGAAGGCGCUCCGACUCCUCACCCCCAGGAUGAACUCUGCAGUGUCGUGACCCUUGGGGUUUUGUGUGCCCUGGAAAUGCGAGAUUUUCCUUCAGCAGCAGGAGGCACACACUCAGAGAAUGCUGGAACUUCAAGGGGGAAGGACCCACUUCCACAGCAGAGAAAA
RNAcentral lists this long non-coding RNA (319 nucleotides) under Rattus norvegicus (Norway rat). RNAcentral's name for it is "long non-coding RNA NONRATT016693". Lineage: Eukaryota; Metazoa; Chordata; Mammalia; Rodentia; Muridae. The record is from RNAcentral.